UACGUACCGUCCAAACGUUAUUCGGAAUUACUGGGCUUAAAGGGUACGUAGGCGGCGCUGUCAGUCGGGUGUGAAAGCCCUCGGCUCAACCGAGGAAUUGCGCCCGAUACUGGAGUGCUUGAGGGAGACAGAGGUAAGCGGAACUGAUGGUGGAGCGGUGAAAUGCGUUGAUAUCAUCAGGAACACCAGUGGCGAAAGCGGCUUACUGGGUCUCUUCUGACGCUGAGGUACGAAAGCUAGGGGAGCGAAGGGG
This 253-nucleotide ribosomal RNA is filed under the name uncultured bacterium. RNAcentral describes it as "partial 16S ribosomal RNA". It matches the Rfam family "Bacterial small subunit ribosomal RNA", at positions 524 to 776 of the family's 1533-position model. The record is from RNAcentral.